This 1943-nucleotide ribosomal RNA is filed under the name Achromobacter aegrifaciens. Its description in RNAcentral is "partial 23S ribosomal RNA". It matches the Rfam family "Bacterial large subunit ribosomal RNA", at positions 179 to 2165 of the family's 2925-position model. Lineage: Bacteria; Pseudomonadati; Pseudomonadota; Betaproteobacteria; Burkholderiales; Alcaligenaceae. The record is from RNAcentral.
GCGAACCGGGUGAACUGAAACAUCUCAGUAGCUCGAGGAAAAGAAAUCAACCGAGAUUCCGAAAGUAGUGGCGAGCGAAAUCGGAAGAGCCUUUACGUUUUAGCACGCAAGAUAGUCGAACGGAAUGGAAAGUCCGGCCGUAGCAGGUGAUAGCCCUGUAGGCGAAAUCUUGUGUGUGGAACUAAGCGUAAGAAAAGUAGGGCGGGACACGUGAAAUCCUGUUUGAAGAUGGGGGGACCAUCCUCCAAGGCUAAAUACUCGUGAUCGACCGAUAGUGAACCAGUACCGUGAGGGAAAGGCGAAAAGAACCCCGGAAGGGGAGUGAAAUAGAUCCUGAAACCGUAUGCAUACAAACAGUAGGAGCCUCCUUGUGGGGUGACUGCGUACCUUUUGUAUAAUGGGUCAGCGACUUACAUUCAGUGGCAAGGUUAACCGAAUAGGGAAGCCGUAGCGAAAGCGAGUCCGAAUAGGGCGAUUCAGUCGCUGGGUGUAGACCCGAAACCAGAUGAUCUAUCCAUGGCCAGGUUGAAGGCACGGUAACACGUGCUGGAGGACCGAACCCACUAAUGUUGAAAAAUUAGGGGAUGAGCUGUGGAUAGGGGUGAAAGGCUAAACAAAUCUGGAAAUAGCUGGUUCUCUCCGAAAACUAUUUAGGUAGUGCCUCAAGUAUUACUGCGGGGGGUAGAGCACUGUUAUAGCUAGGGGGUCAUGGCGACUUACCAAACUAUGGCAAACUCCGAAUACCCGCAAGUACAGCUUGGGAGACAGAGCACCGGGUGCUAACGUCCGGACUCAAGAGGGAAACAACCCAGACCGCCAGCUAAGGUCCCAAAUUAUCGCUAAGUGGGAAACGAAGUGGGAAGGCAUAGACAGUCAGGAGGUUGGCUUAGAAGCAGCCAUCCUUUAAAGAAAGCGUAAUAGCUCACUGAUCGAGUCGUCCUGCGCGGAAGAUGUAACGGGGCUAAGCGAUAAACCGAAGCUGCGGGUGUGCACUUUGUGCACGCGGUAGGAGAGCGUUCUGUAAGCCUGCGAAGGUGGCUUGUAAAGGCUGCUGGAGGUAUCAGAAGUGCGAAUGCUGACAUGAGUAGCGAUAAAGGGGGUGAAAAGCCCCCUCGCCGUAAGUCCAAGGUUUCCUGCGCAACGUUCAUCGGCGCAGGGUGAGUCGGCCCCUAAGGCGAGGCAGAGAUGCGUAGCUGAUGGGAAGCUGGUUAAUAUUCCAGCACCGUCGUACAGUGCGAUGGGGGGACGGAUCGCGGAAGAUCAUCAGGGUGUUGGAUGUCCCUGUUGCUGCAUCGAAGAUGGCGCUUAGGCAAAUCCGGGCGCGUAAAUCAAGGGUGUGGCACGAGCGAGCAUUGCUUGCGAAGUGAUUGGAAGUGGUUCCAAGAAAAGCCUCUAAGCUUCAGCUGUACGAGACCGUACCGCAAACCGACACAGGUGGACGGGAUGAAUAUUCCAAGGCGCUUGAGAGAACUCAGGAGAAGGAACUCGGCAAAUUGAUACCGUAACUUCGGGAGAAGGUAUACCCCGGUAGUGUGAAGCGCCUGCGCGCUUAGCAUGAUGGGGUCGCAGAGAAUCGGUGGCUGCGACUGUUUAUUAAAAACACAGCACUCUGCAAAGACGAAAGUCGACGUAUAGGGUGUGACGCCUGCCCGGUGCCGGAAGGUUAAGUGAUGGGGUGCAAGCUCUUGAUCGAAGCCCCGGUAAACGGCGGCCGUAACUAUAACGGUCCUAAGGUAGCGAAAUUCCUUGUCGGGUAAGUUCCGACCUGCACGAAUGGCGUAACGAUGGCCACACUGUCUCCUCCUGAGACUCAGCGAAGUUGAAGUGUUUGUGAUGAUGCAAUCUACCCGCGGCUAGACGGAAAGACCCCAUGAACCUUUACUGUAGCUUUGCAUUGAUCUGUGAACCGGCCUGUGUAGGAUAGGUGGGAGGCUUUGAAGCGU